CUGUGUGCGCGCCCGUGUUCAUGUAGCGAUUCUGGGUGGGUCCCUGGUUCUAGCAUGCAACCGGCUUGCAUGUGCGUGCACGAUGCGCAGUUCCCAUUGGGCUGCAUGUGCGAUUUGUCUCCAGCAGCCGACUUGUGUGCCAUGUUCCUCCGUCUUUUCCCAACGGUUUUGUCUUUUUCCGUUUGUCCUUGCUUGCAUGUGCCGAAUCCCAUGCUGUCGUGGCCAACUUUUACGCCGUCUGUUGUUUCAAAAUUGAAUUUUUGUUUGCGGCGCGUGUGCCUUUGUGCAGUCGGCUGCCGCUCCGGUCGUGCUUUCUAGGCCUGGUACUUCGUCGGCUGCCGCCUUUCUUUAUUCUUCUGGUCGCUUCUUCCUCACAUGCAGUGGCUGUCUUUGAUUUGUCUUUCGAUUCGUCGUCGCCUGCUAUAAAUACGGGCCCUCCCAUCGAGCUUCCUCUCAUUCUGAUUUCAGCCAGGUGCGCGUUCCUUCCUGCAUUUAGUGGCAGGAUUUAUAGAGGCAGCGAUGGUUAGUCCUCCUGUUGUUCGGUCUGGUCGGGGCCGGCGGGACGUGCUCCUGGGAUCCGGGCGGCUGUUAUCGCGCGUGUGCGUAAUGGCUGCGGUCGUUUCCCUCCUGCGGAUCGUCCAACAGUAAUGGGAGAGGCUGUUGUCCGUGAUGAAUUGCCUGUUGUUCAUUUAAGGUGUCGUUGCCGCCGUGCGGUUCGCCGGCCGUUGCGUUCUGGACGGAUGGUCAACGUUUGGUUCCCGAUGGGGAAGGGUGGUCUUGAUCGCCGCCGUCGAGAGAUUUCUUGACUCUACUUAAUGCAAGUGCGCUGGCUUCUUGCUGUGCAUGCGACUGUCUCUGUCUGCUUGCGUACGUUUCUUUUUCUGCCUUGCUUACUACACUCGCUUCUUUCUUCUCUUCUCUUCCUUUUUGUGAAGGCUACACUCCUACUGCUGAUUGUUCUUGUGCACUUGGUGGUCUCAUGCCUGCUGCUCCGCUCGCCGGCGUGGGAUCUGGUGAGUUUCUGCUUCUUCUCUGUGUAUUAUGUUGGUUGUGCUGGCUGCUGUAAGAUGGGCAUAAUUUUUUUGUGUUGACGUUGGGACGGUUGGUGAUGAUUUUUUCCUUUCUAUAAGCUGCUUGUGUGGGUCUUUGCGUGUGGUCCAUGCGACAUGUGUUUUUUUUUGUUUCAUUUGCUUUGCUACAUGGAUUUCGGCCUGUUCGUCCAAUGUUUUGUUGCAGCUUCCUCGGUGGCCCAGACGGUUCAUGGGUCGUCUGGUUAUCCUUUUUCUCUUCCUGAUGAUGUCCACCUUGAUCAUCGCUUGGUGGGUGUUCCGUCUGUUGUUAAUCGUUCCAAGGGUGUGCCUUUGCGUGUGGCCGGUGCUUUCGGUCGGCCUACUCCUCUUGGUGAGUUUAGGUUCUGAAACAUGCAUCUGCCACUGCCUUUUUUCUUUUCUUUUUUUGUUUGUGUUGGAUAUGGUUCUAAUUUGUAUAUGUGGCUGUUUUUUGAGUGAUGCCUACUCCUGUCAUGGGAAACUUCGUAAGCGGGCGCUGAUGCGGGUUUGCAUGCGGGGAUCUCCUUUGCAUGCCAUUUUUUUUUCUGCUUGCGAUCCAGCGCGCCUUCUGUGUGUCCUUGUUUUAGAGGGUUCCAUAUAUAUAUAUUUUUAAUCCUGACUUGCAUGGCGGUUAGACGGUGUUGGUCUUCACGAUGGUUCUGGCGCCGCCGUGUGCAUCGACGCUUCUGGGCGCCGCUUUGCAGAUCGAUGCUUCUGGUCGCUGCUUUGCACGAUACUUCUGGUAGGGUUUGCCAUCUCCGAUUCGCUUCGCCUCACGAAGCGGUGUUCUUUCUUGGUGGAUAGGUCGUGGUGGUUCUUGCCGAAGUGGUGCCCGCCGCCGGGGCCGUCGAUACCUCGUCGGAGCCCCAACUGCCGGGAUGCAAUUCAUCUCUCAACGCCGGUACAAUCUCCCCUACACGGCCGAGUUGGCGGCGCACGCAUGACAUAUCACCGACUACCAGCGGGAGCCAUCACCGACUACUUGCAGGAGGUGCAUGCGGAGGCCCCGAUAUGGUGGGGUUCAGUGCAGCAAUCUAGCCGAUGCUGCUAUCCUCGGCCGUCGGUCACCGACUCUGCCACGAACCCCUACGCCGCCCCAAACACCCCCAUGGCCAUCCCCGUUGGCGACGACUUCUCGCGGUUUGGGUAGGGCAGCGGAGGCUACGACGGGAGGGUUAGAGGUGGCGGUGGCGGCUGAGAGGCUAAAUCCAGGUUAAUGUCACGUCGCUCAAUCCAUCUAUUUUUUUCCGUGCUGGUGGCUUCCGCUCUGGUGGUAGAGGAAGCGGGGAAGGGAGGGAUGGGCUGGGCCGGGCAUGCCUUAUAAUGUAUCUGUGCAGAUUAUAAUAUUUCCAUCAAUGACCAUAA
Long non-coding RNA from Aegilops tauschii subsp. strangulata, 2414 nucleotides. RefSeq lists it as uncharacterized. The record is from RefSeq and is a predicted model, not a curated record. NCBI's taxonomy places the organism in Eukaryota, Viridiplantae, Streptophyta, Magnoliopsida, Poales, Poaceae.